Molecule: long non-coding RNA, 2639 nt
Organism: Corythoichthys intestinalis (scribbled pipefish)
Lineage: Eukaryota; Metazoa; Chordata; Actinopteri; Syngnathiformes; Syngnathidae
Exons: 6
Source: RefSeq, a predicted model, not a curated record
CGGCGAUUGAGUUAUGGAAACAGCUGGUAAUUAAUGGCGUCUUUACCAAGGGUGAUAAUUAGCUUAUGUAUUAGAGGUGUGAAUAUUGUGUUUACUGUGGACCACCUGACAGGAGAUUUCAAGUUCUGGCUUACUUUCUUCUUCUUGAGGCGGAUACUUACUCAAAUUGCUACUCUUCCAUUGUCUGUAGAUGGAUCAGAAUGAAAUUUGCCAUCUUAUCCACAUCAGCACCAAUUUCAAGCCCGCCGAGUCCAGUACAUUCCCACACACAAACUGCUAGUGGAAAAAGAAGUACAGUCAAUGGGAACAAACGUGUUACCUUGAAAAGAUGGACUUCUCCUCAAGCCGUCUGUGACCUCGUUGUGUCCGAGAAGAUUAGAGUCAAGAACAGGGCUGCUAGGUGUCGAGGGACCCCGGACUUCGGAACAUCUCUUUAGGCACAGACUCAUCUCUGAGAUUGAAGGUCAGCUCCAGGUUGGCAAAGAAGUAGUCGGCGAACUCUGGAUACAUGUCCAACACCUCCAAAAGAUCCUCACGCUGGAUGGUGCUCAGGUCACAGUAACUCAAGGCCCGCACGUCAGCAUUGGACUUUCCAGACGAGUGGAUGUACUCACAGCCGAUCAGCAUGACACAAAUAGAAAAGAUCUUCUCCGAGUUCGUGUUUGGAGAAACAUUGCCAAAUCCCACACUGGUUAGACUGCUGAAGGUGAAGUAAAGCGCAGUGACAUACUUGUCCUUGAUGGAGGGACCAGAGCUGGGAUCGCUGUAGUUGUAUUUCUUUCCUAUGGACACUCCGAGAUUGUCCAGCCAGCCAAUUUUAUGCUCCAAGUAAGGCUUUUCCACAUUGCCGAUGGCGUACCAUAUACAAGCAAGCCAGUGGGCGAUGAGGGCAAAGAUGCACAUUAACAGCAUCAGUACGGCAGCUCCAUACUCAGAGUAGCGGUCGAGCUUCCUGGCUACUCGUACCAGGCGAAGAAGCCUUGCUGUCUUCAGCAGACCAAUUAGAGUGGUUGUCUAAACACAUACAGGGUACAUUUAGGGUUACUUGGUUUUAGUAAUUGCAAUAGAAAACAUUUAGUCAAAAACUAGCAGUGUGACACUAGGGCAUUUAAAGGGAAUGAGAAAGUUCUUGUUCAUUGCAGCAUUGCAAAAAUGUCUUUCAAAAAUGCACCUACAUACAAACCCUCCAAAUUAGCGGCACCAGAUUUAAAACAACACCACAUCUGUAUAGUUCUGCACUAUUUACCGUAAUGGGAGGCCAUCGGCCGUCAUUUACUUUAUGAGAAAAACAACAAUUAUAUUAUUUUUAGAGCUGUCAAACGAAUCAAAUUUUUAAUCGAGUUAAUUACAGCUUAAAAAUUAAUUAAUCGUAAUUAAUAGCAAUUCAAACCAUCUAUAAAAUAUGCCAUCUUUUUCUAUAAAUUAUUGUUGGAAUGGUAAGAUAAGACACAAGACGGAUAUAUACAUUCAACAUACGGUACAUAAAUACUGUAUUUGUUUAUUAUACCAAUAAAUCAACGAGAGGCAUUAAUAUUAUUAACAUUCUGUUAAAGCGAUCCAUGGAUAGAAAGACUUGUAGCUCUUAAAAGAUAAAUGUUAGUACAAGUUAUAGAAAUGUUAUAUUAAAACCCCUCUUAAUGUUUUCGUUUUAAUAAAAUUUGUAAAAUUUUCAAUCAAAAAAUAAACUAGUAGCCCGCCAUUGCUAAUGUCAAUAAUCACACAAUGCUCAUGGGUGCUGAAACCCAUAAAAUCAGUCGCUCCCAAGCGCCAGAAGAGGGCGACAAAACUCCAAAAAACACAAGUAACAAGUGGACGUUACACUGUGCUGUCAUUUUAAUCUGUUUGAGCGGGGCAUGUGUCUUAAUUGCGUCAAAUAUUUUAACGUGAUUAAUUUAAAAAAUUAAUUACCGCUCGAUAACGUGAUAAUUUUGACAGCCCUAAUCAUUUUACAUUUUUCUUCACUUACUUAAACAACACACUCAUACUUACGGGUUUGCCAUAUCUUCUUUUCUCUGGCAUUGACAUUUAAAUAAAUGCUCUGUACCAAAAUGUUGCGAAGAAUGCACAAAGUAUGCAAGCUGCUGCUAUAAUUCCAGUGUUAGAAGGUUUCAUGAUGUGCUGACAAGUGAAAAUCCAUUUCCCACUAGGGAUAGGAAACAACCGAAAUUGGACUACAGUACCCCUACGUGCCACAGUCUAUUCAUUUCGCUGCACUUCAUUGAGCUGGCUUUUGUCUGCAAUGAGUAGUAGUGCAUAGCAAGCAUAACAGAAUUGUAUGCAUUUAUUAUGCAGUAUUAAUCAAACAUACUGUGGGGGUUAAUUCUAAGAAAUGCAGCAUGGGCAUUAGUGGCUCUGUAAAACAAUAUUAUACUGAGGUUAUUUAGUACUCCUUAACUAAUGUGGAAUACAGUUAGCUUACUCUAUGUACAAGCAGCACAUUUUGACAAUAAUUUGUUUGCCUUUGAAAUGAUUACCUACUUUUGUGGAUGUCAGAAAAGCUACACAUUUUUCUGUAAGUAAAAGACAUAAGCCAUGGCAGAUGUGACACUAGUUCAUUCACGUUUAUCUGCUCAGGGAUUAUGUAAUAUAGUGGCUGAAAGGAUUCACUCUUUUUUGUAUUUUGUCCAUUGGGAAAAAUA